This 253-nucleotide ribosomal RNA is filed under the name uncultured bacterium. Its description in RNAcentral is "partial 16S ribosomal RNA". It matches the Rfam family "Bacterial small subunit ribosomal RNA", at positions 524 to 776 of the family's 1533-position model. The record is from RNAcentral.
UACGUAGGUGCCCAGCGUUGUCCGGAUUUACUGGGCGUAAAGAGCGCGCAGGCGGUCGUUCAAGUCGAGUGUGAAAGCCCCCGGCUCAACUGGGGAGGGUCAUUCGAUACUGAUCGACUCGAAGGCAGGAGAGGGAAGUGGAAUUCCCGGUGUAGUGGUGAAAUGCGUAGAUAUCGGGAGGAACACCAGUGGCGAAGGCGACUUCCUGGCCUGUUCUUGACGCUGAGGCGCGAAAGCUAGGGGAGCAAACGGG